UUGAGGUAGGACUGGGGAACUAAGUCUGGUUGGGUUUUCUCUGAAAUCUGUCAAUAACAUCUGGAAGGAGAACCUCUCCAGUCUUUUUUAUGCAGUUCCAUGUUGCUCUCUGGCUGGACACAUACCUUUUUGCUUCACCUGUUAUAAAGGCCUGAUCCUCCAUUGGAUCAUCUUCACCUUCUUUUCUAAAUGAAAGGAGUUUUGAAAAGUUAAUUUUUGAAAAAGAUGCCUAGCAGUAUAAUUCAUUUACAUUUCAGUUUCUUGUUAAAAUCAGGCAUGAGAGGGGAACUUGACAAAACACUGGAGUAUUUAAGAGGGUGGAAAAAAAAAUUGAAACUUAGGUUGUCAGUUCUCUGUUUUAAAAGUGAAAAAUAUUACUUGGUGAUCGACUGUCCAACCUUCAGACCAAGGUUAACUGACUUGAUCUUCCACCUUUGUCAACAGCAAUACUGAGGACAGUUCCUCAAUUCCUAACAUGAAACACCUCGCAGGAGCAGAGCCUAAUAACAGUAGUUUCUUUUCUCAUCAAUAUAACCAGUUUGGGUCCCUGUUGCUUCACAUGUAAAUCUACUUUAUAUGAAAGACAAAAAAUAGUCUGUAAAAUAAAUUUUGAGUUGUGAUUGAGCCAUGUUUGGAGAAUGUUUUAUUCUGAGGUUGUAGUGUUGGCGGCUUUCAUCUUGAGAACUUGAUGAACCUAAAAUGGCAUUAUGAAGAAUGAAGAGAGAGACUUCCUUGAAAA
RNAcentral lists this long non-coding RNA (739 nucleotides) under Bos taurus (domestic cattle). Its description in RNAcentral is "long non-coding RNA NONBTAT027051". Lineage: Eukaryota; Metazoa; Chordata; Mammalia; Artiodactyla; Bovidae. The record is from RNAcentral.